RNAcentral lists this long non-coding RNA (938 nucleotides) under Macaca nemestrina (pig-tailed macaque). Its description in RNAcentral is "lncRNA (ENSMNEG00000045769.1)". Lineage: Eukaryota; Metazoa; Chordata; Mammalia; Primates; Cercopithecidae. The record is from RNAcentral.
UCUCUCUCCAGGCCAUGGAUUCCACCCAGAACUGACAUCCUGGCCUCCAGGCUUCAGGCCAUUAUUGGCUUGAAGGUGGGGCUUCACCAGGGACCCUCCCCUUCCUGCCUAGUAGCCUAUCUGCCUCCUGGGCUGACGUGUCAGCCAGUGCACCCAGGAUGUUCGUGCUGAGGCACCUGCGGACCCGUGCGGGGCUGCCCUCAGGCCCCACGCAGCCCCCCUCCCGUACUCGUUGACGUCCAAAGUCUGGAGGAGGCCGAGGGUUCAGGGCACUGGCAUGCCAGUGCCACCCCAAGCAUGGACACACCCGGCCUGGUUGCAGGAGCUCCCAGGCUCGGCCACAACUUUGCUCCCACCCGGAGUGGGUGCCAGGAGCGGGGAGAGGCCAGGCCCUGGGAGCAGGAACUUUCAAGCCUGCAGAGACAAGGGACUUCCUGGGCCCCGAGAGUGCAGCGAUGCCUGGGUCCUGGGCCGUGGCUGGGUGGCUGCAGCUGCACCUGGAGUGCGGGGCUCCUGGAGUGUCCCGCUCCUGCCCCACUGACUCCGUACAGUGCAGGGCUCCCCACUGUUGCCGGCCCCUGCUGGCUCCGCGAAGUAUGCAGCCCUGGCCGCGCCUACCCCGCUGCAGUGGAUGUCUUUGCAGCAGCCCCUCCAGAUGGGCCGCCGCUGCCAUCAGUAGUAUUUGGAAGAUAUCCUACAAUCAAAAGGAGAAAUUGACAAGUUUAUAAACAGAAUGAGUACAUUACUGUCUCAUCACGUGACACAUCAAGGAUUCACCCAGCAUUCCCUAGAGAGAAGGCUUCUCCUCUCUCAUGGUCGCCAGGACCAGCUGGAACAACCAGUGCUCUGGCUGAAGACCUCUACAGGUAGACAGGCGGCAAGAUACUGCUGGGGCCCACUUUCUUCAUCAUUUUCUGGUGAUGGUUUACUUCAUGUAG